This 739-nucleotide non-coding RNA is filed under the name Cucumis melo (muskmelon). RNAcentral's name for it is "Bacterial large subunit ribosomal RNA". It matches the Rfam family "Bacterial large subunit ribosomal RNA", at positions 576 to 1301 of the family's 2925-position model. The record is from Rfam by way of RNAcentral. Lineage: Eukaryota; Viridiplantae; Streptophyta; Magnoliopsida; Cucurbitales; Cucurbitaceae.
GUUGAAGGUGCAGCAAGCCUUGACUUUCGAUUCUCUUAGUCAAGCUAUCUCACUUUAACGGCGAACCUUUUGCAUGAUGGGUCAGUGAAAAAAUGGGAACUGCGGCUUAAGACAUUAGGUGUAGGUGCUUUUGAGAGGUGAAGAUUCUCGUUCUUCCUAUUUGACCCAAAACCAAUCGAUCUAGCCAUGAGUAGGUUGAAAAGAGCUCUAGCAGGCCUUAGAGGACCGAACCCAUGUAUGUGAAAAAAUACAGAAAUGACUUGUGGCUAGGGGUGAAAGACUAACCAAGAUCAGAUAUAGCUGGUUUUCGACGAAAUCUAUUUCAGUAGAGCGUAUGAUGUCGAUAGCUUGAGGUAGAGCACUCAAUAGGCUAGGGGGGCCCUAUUUUGCCUUACUAACCCAGGGAAACCCCGAAUACAGGCCUAGAGACUUUUGGGGUGCUAUGAUUUAAAGUAGAGAAAGAAAUAGCACAGAUUGUAUGCUAAGGUCCCUAAGCAAUCACUUAGUGGAAAAGGAAGUUCUCAAACGACGACAACUAGGACGUGGGCUUGGAAGUAGCCAUCCUUUGAAGAAAGCUUAAUAGCUCACUGGUUUAGCUCCAUGGCACUGGAAAUUUCUUGGGGCUCAAGUGAUUCAUCGAAGCUACAAGACCUUGAAAGCUGCUUUUUUAAGUGUUAGUAGUAGAACAUUCUGUCAAUCAGAGAAGGUUUUCGGUGAUAUCAAAAGUGAGAAUGCUAAC